RNAcentral lists this ribosomal RNA (494 nucleotides) under uncultured bacterium. Its description in RNAcentral is "partial 16S ribosomal RNA". It matches the Rfam family "Bacterial small subunit ribosomal RNA", at positions 28 to 507 of the family's 1533-position model. The record is from RNAcentral.
GACGAACGCUGGCGGCGUGCUUAACACAUGCAAGUCGAACGGUGAAGCGCCUUCCUUUUUGGUGGGUGUGGAUGAGUGGCGAACGGGUGAGUAACACGUGAGUAACCUGCCCCCUUCUUCUGGAUAACCGCAUGAAAGUGUGGCUAAUACGGGAUAUUCUGGGUCUGUCGCAUGAUGGGUCUGGGAAAGUUUUUGUUUCGGUGGGGGAUGGGCUCGCGGCCUAUCAGCUUGUUGGUGGGGUGAGGGCCUACCAAGGCGGUGACGAGUAGCCGGCCUGGGGGGGUGGACGAGCACGCUGGGGCUGCGCCACGGCCCAGACUCCUACGGGACGCAGCAGUGGGGCAUAUUGCACGAUGGGCGCAAGCCUGAUGCAGCGUCGCCGCGUGAGUGAUGGAGGCCUUCGGGUUGUGAACCUCUUUCGCCAGUGAAGCAAGCCUGCCUCGUUUGUGGGUGGGUUGACGGUAGCUGGAUAAGAAGCGCCGGCUAACUACGUG